This 64-nucleotide transfer RNA is filed under the name Laticauda laticaudata (blue-ringed sea krait). It matches the Rfam family "tRNA". From Rfam's summary of the family: Transfer RNA (tRNA) molecules are approximately 80 nucleotides in length. Their secondary structure includes four short double-helical elements and three loops (D, anti-codon, and T loops). Lineage: Eukaryota; Metazoa; Chordata; Lepidosauria; Squamata; Elapidae. The record is from Rfam by way of RNAcentral.
CAAAAAGUAGCUUAACUAAAGCACUCGACUUACAAUCGAGCGACAUUAUACAUAAUCUUUUUGA